This 254-nucleotide ribosomal RNA is filed under the name uncultured prokaryote. RNAcentral's name for it is "partial 16S ribosomal RNA". It matches the Rfam family "Bacterial small subunit ribosomal RNA", at positions 524 to 776 of the family's 1533-position model. The record is from RNAcentral.
UACGGGGGGAGCAAGCGUUGUUCGGAUUUACUGGGCGUAAAGGGCGCGUAGGCGGCCACCGCAAGUCGACUGUGAAAUCUCCGGGCUUAACCCGGAAAGGUCAGCCGAUACUGCGGGGCUAGAGUGCAGAAGGGGCAACUGGAAUUCUCGGUGUAGCGGUGAAAUGCGUAGAUAUCGGGAGGAACAUCAGUGGCGAAGGCGGCUGCCUGGCCCAACACUGACACUCAGGUGCGACAGCGUGGGGAGCAAACAGG